AUUCCAGCUCCAAUAGCGUACAUUAAAGUUGUUGCAGUUAAAAAGCUCGUAGUUGGAUUUCUGGUGUCGCAGUGCUUCCGCGUGUUUAAUUACAUGUCGAGUUGUGUUUGCGUCGCCAUCUUUUAGCAGCACCUUCCUGGCAUUAGGUUGUUGGGUUGGUAAUGCUAAUCGUUUACUGUGAAGAAAUUAGAGUGUUCAAAGCAGGCUUAUGCCGUUGAAUACGUUAGCAUGGAAUAAUGAGAUAGGACUUUGGUGGUUUAUUUUGUUGGUUUGCACGCCAAAGUAAUGAUUAAUAGGAGCAGUUGGGGAUGUCCGUAUUCGAUUGUCAGAGGUGAAAUUCUUGGAUUUAUUGAAGACGAACUACUGCCAAAGCAUUCAUCAAGGAUGUUUUCAUUG
This 396-nucleotide ribosomal RNA is filed under the name Leptocylindrus sp. Its description in RNAcentral is "partial small subunit ribosomal RNA". It matches the Rfam family "Eukaryotic small subunit ribosomal RNA", at positions 582 to 975 of the family's 1831-position model. The record is from RNAcentral. Lineage: Eukaryota; Bacillariophyta; Leptocylindrophyceae; Leptocylindrales; Leptocylindraceae.